RNAcentral lists this non-coding RNA (22 nucleotides) under Arabidopsis thaliana (thale cress). The record is from RNAcentral. Lineage: Eukaryota; Viridiplantae; Streptophyta; Magnoliopsida; Brassicales; Brassicaceae.
UAAGCCCGGGCUUUUGAUACGC